This is a long non-coding RNA of Lemur catta (Ring-tailed lemur), 362 nucleotides long. RefSeq lists it as uncharacterized. The record is from RefSeq and is a predicted model, not a curated record. The transcript is spliced from 3 exons. Lineage: Eukaryota; Metazoa; Chordata; Mammalia; Primates; Lemuridae.
CCCCCGCCCUCUGCCGCUCGCAGCCCCGCCAGCGAGAAGCCGCUGUGAGCGUGAGUCGCUUCGGCGAAGUCACACCCCCACGGAGGGCAGGAAUCCGGGGGCUGCCGCGGAAAUAAGAAGAUAAAAGAACAAGGCCACCAUCACCAUGAGGAAACAAUCAUACAAAUACAGACUAUGGGACAUUCUAGAAGAUAAACCAAACUGGAAUUGUCAGUAUUAUUAAAAAUAAAUGAGGAGACUCUUCCAUAUCAGGACAAGACUAUAAAAGAAUAAAUCGUAAUGCCACUCAAGCCAUGACAGUAAAUGAAGUGAACAUGAAAGCUUUACCAAGACUUCCAGGAAGUGGAACCCAUCUUCUUGGU